Molecule: ribosomal RNA, 274 nt
Filed under: uncultured bacterium
Lineage: Bacteria
Description: partial 16S ribosomal RNA
Rfam family: Bacterial small subunit ribosomal RNA
Source: RNAcentral
AUACGAAGGGGGCUAGCGUUGUUCGGAAUUACUGGGCGUAAAGCGCGCGUAGGCGGAUUGGUCAGUUAGGGGUGAAAUCCCAGGGCUUAACCCUGGAACUGCCUCUAAUACUGCCAGUCUCGAGUUCGGGAGAGGUGAGUGGAAUUCCUAGUGUAGAGGUGAAAUUCGUAGAUAUUAGGAAGAACACCAGUGGCGAAGGCGGCUCACUGGCCCGAUACUGACGCUGAGGCGCGAAAGCGUGGGGAGCAAACAGGAUUAGAUACCCUUGUAGUCC